AUGUAUCUUCAAGCUCUUUAGUUAAUUUAUCUAUCAAAUACAUCAAUGGCGAAGAGCAGCAAGCAUCUUCUUGUGGUCCUACUCCUUGUGUUGCUUCUUGUGGCUACAGAAUUUCAGCCAACAGAGGCAAUGAAGCCAGGGCCAAAGCCAAAGCCAAAGCCAAAGCCAAAACCAGCCCCGGCACCAAAAAAGACAUGCAAAUCUUUGAGCACCAAAUUCCAGGGUGUAUGCAUAAUGGACAGUAAUUGUGCCAAUGUUUGCAGAACAGAAGGAUUUACAGGAGGGAAUUGCCAUGAUAUUAUUCCACAAUGUUAUUGCACCAAACUCUGCGACUACUAAGAAAAAAGCACUUUAGAAUUGAAGCUUAAACUAUAUAUGUGGUCUAUUCUGCUAAGAACAAAAUGCAGUGAUCUAGCUCUACAUGACACUCAAUAAGUCAUCUCUUUAUUUAUUUCAUAAGGAGACUACAUUCUCCACCUAAGUUAUGUUAUGUGGUAAACACCCACUACCCUAAAUAAAUAAAUGUAUGUAAUUUAUGUUAGUAAUAAAUAAAAAAAAUCAGCAGUGUCUCACUGUGUUUAGUUCA
Long non-coding RNA from Macadamia integrifolia, 586 nucleotides. RefSeq lists it as uncharacterized. The transcript has 2 exons. NCBI's taxonomy places the organism in Eukaryota, Viridiplantae, Streptophyta, Magnoliopsida, Proteales, Proteaceae. The record is from RefSeq and is a predicted model, not a curated record.